This is a long non-coding RNA of Daphnia pulex (common water flea), 829 nucleotides long. RefSeq lists it as uncharacterized. Lineage: Eukaryota; Metazoa; Arthropoda; Branchiopoda; Diplostraca; Daphniidae. The transcript has 3 exons. The record is from RefSeq and is a predicted model, not a curated record.
UAUCAGGGAAGCCCUAAUAAGAGGUCCAAGAGAAAUUUAUUCGGGUCAACUGAUACCAUGCCACGUACUAAAUCGUUAAUGGUUUUCAGGUAAAAAAUAACCAUGGGAAUAUGGGGUCGCAUAAAUAGAUGUCACUGGUGGAAAAUAAGAAGGUGAUAUGGUAUUUUUCUUUUCUACUGUCUGAUUUUUAAAGAUUUGGUGAGGAACAUCCAAUCUGUCGAUCGCGGUCGCUAACCAAUUGUUAGAAAAACAGCACCAAUAAUGGUCGAACUCGGAUGUGCUUUAUUCGAGAUUUUAACACAAAUUGCAUUUUAUACAUAAAAAAAUUUAUCAGGAAGCUACAAUGUUACAGCAUUACCCGUACUAUGGCUCGUCCCGGUUUGUAUUGCUUUGUAUAAUCUUUAGUUGAACGCUAAGUAUAUUAUUAGAGGCUAGCUAAGAGAAUUUGGCUAGAUCUUUACAAGAUUAGUGAAUGUGAUUUUUUAAAGAAAUUGUGCCUGUUGCACAUCGAUAUUAUUGGCCUUGAUUCUUAAAGGUGGCUUGUUUAAACUUUCGACGGUUAAAGUUAAACUCUAUUUAAUAAAGAGAUAAUAUAACAUUUAGCUAAUGAUCUUGCAUUCUUGACUAAAUAUUUUCAGGCAACUUUUGAAGUUUUUGUGGGCACUGAUUUGCAGAGUGCUCGUGACCAACAGAUAAAAUGGCCCAAUCCAUAUUGCAAAUUUGCAAGCUGUCUUCCAAAACCAUCCAAAACCAAGGAAUUUCUAUUUGCAAGUCUAAUUAGGUAGAAAACCUUUCUGAAAAGUUUAGGAGCCAUUGUUAAUUUCAAUUG